AUACAAAAAAAAAAAAAAAAAGAAAAAAAGAAAUGUAUGUGCAUAAUCGGCCUGUCUUGCUUUUGCUUCAACCAAUAUGCUCAGCGCACAAGUUACUAUGAAGUGUGGGACUGACUUGACUUCAGGCUUGGCAAGUACAAAGGAGGCUUCUCUUGACACAGCUAGUGGAGAUGCUGAAAAGAAUAAAGGCCGGAAUGGGAACACUUCCAUUUCUUCCUUUUCAGAGAUUCCAAAGUUAAACCCCGCUAGGCAAUCAAGGUUACCGGGAAGUGUCUGCCGGGUUUUCCCUGAGGCCGAUUUCUUCUGGAAUCCAAACUGUCACCAGCACAUGGAGCCCGGCGGGCUUUUGAAGAGUGGGAUGCAGGCGUUUGGUAUUCUGCGAAGGCAGUGGCGUGUGUUGGGGGCCCAGGCGAGCUGGCGACUCUGGGCUCUGCCAGGCUUUCACUCUCCGCAGCUCGGCCCUGCCUCCCAGCAGGAGCGACCCGGGCUUGGAAAAGGUUAACUAGCACAAACAGCCUUCAUUUGUGCCGAGUGGGAAAGCCCCAUGUGUUGCCCCAGCUUCUCUUUAUGCGGCGUGAGGGGUGGGUUUUCGCUGUUGUUGGGCCCGUUGGCACGAGACCCCAUCUGCUUAUCUCGAGCAAAGUUUGAGGAACAGCUCCCGUCCUAUUCUUAUAUAUGAAGAGCCCUGUCAAUUUUCCCACCGCUGUGCAUCAUGGAUACCAAACAGCCACACACAGAAAAGAGAGGUGCAACUGCUGAGAGAAAGCAUCCUAAGGAAAUCUGAUUAGUGAAGAUCGGAAAAGUCAUCCUUGAGGAGGUGAUGAAGCCAGGUCCUGAAGACUGGGUAGGAGUUAAACUGGUGACUAUAUAUCCAAAAAACUAAAUCCAGGAAACUCAACAGGUAAUGACUCAAUACUAAUCUUUUAAUUGAUUGACUAAGGAAACUAUAUAAAAUUUUGUGUGUGUGUGUGCUUUUCAGGGCUACACCCACGGCAAAUGGAGGCUCCCAGGCUAAGGGGUUGAA
Sus scrofa (pig) is the source of this 1024-nucleotide long non-coding RNA. RefSeq lists it as uncharacterized. The record is from RefSeq and is a predicted model, not a curated record. NCBI's taxonomy places the organism in Eukaryota, Metazoa, Chordata, Mammalia, Artiodactyla, Suidae.